AGACAUCAGCAAAAUGAGACACACCUGUGCAGGUAAUUAAGGGGGUGGGGCCAAUACGUUUAAAGACAUGAAGAGGAAAGCAGAGCAAGCAAAAAGCAGAAAAUAUGCAGGACAAACAGGAAGCUGGAGCAGGCUGGCUGCGAAGUCUCAGGAGUGGGACAACAGCGUUGGGGAGCAGCGGUGCAGUGUUAGGCCGGUUGCAAUUAAGCUGAGGGCUGUGUGUUGUGGUCACAUGGCAAAAGAGAGAGACCCAGCAGUGUGGAUACACCGUGGCGAUAACUGACUGCAGAUCUGGCAUUGCUCUUUAGGCUCCGAGUGGCAGUACUGUCCUCCCCUUCACACACCAGCCAGCACCAGAACAACUGGAGGAAGCAACAGAGUGAGACAUGAGACCCACAGAGGGAAGCAGCCGGAGAUCCGGGCCCAAUACGCAGCACAAAGAAUGGAGGCCAAAUUACACCCACCGAGCCCAGCUACACAGAGCCGGGGGAAGCUGUCCAGAUGUCAAGCGGCACCAGCAGUGUAAGGACAGCAGGCCUCGGAUGGAGUGACUGGAUGGGAAAACAGUGAUGGAGUCACAAGGGAUGCAGUGCCAUAAGAGACUUAUUAUCUUUUACCUUGUAUUUAUUAGACCCUUUUUCUUUGUUUGUUUUCUUGGUUUUAUGUUUGUAGUUUUAUUGUUUUACUGUAGGAGAACACAAGUGGCUCAAGUGGUAUUGUCAAUGAAACUUCAACCAGGCUACAAUUGUACAUACAUUGUACUCACCAAAGUAACUGUUGAGAAAUGGGAACAUGGUGACAUAAACUCACUGGGGCAUGAAACAAAAUAAGUAAGAUUAUCAGACAGGUUGUUAACAAGCAGAUUAUUGAAAUUACUUUAUCUGGGGGUAAAACUGAAAGUUAGUUCACCCAGAAGUCACAAGGAAAACUAUAAAAUGAGGGAUUCCUGUUGUAAGCAGGGUAGGUCAAAGUGAAACCAUGAGAGAGUCUGGAAACUGUACAAUGGACAGUUAGUGUCUAAUCAUUUUACCCUCUGCCGAUCAGGACACUGCCCAUUGUUCUGAUGGCCCCCUGAUUGGCUACUCUUUGUUGCUUUGUUAGGAUUAGGGGUAGAUGGUUGGUUAGAUGGGAAUCAUAAUAAUGGGCCGUCGUAAUAAUGGUAUGGCACCCUGUAAAUAAGUCUGGCUUACCUUGGGGUUUGUUUAAAACCUAAUGAAGACUAUUUGUUUCUCAUUGUGUUCAUCAGCAGAUGGUGUUUGUUCAGUUGUAAUGAAGAUGAAAAAGGUGAGUCGUGGUGAAAAGCUCAGAAAAAGCAAGUAAAUUGGAGUUAACCUCGAGUUAAGAUUAUUUUGUGAUUUUGUCUAUUUCCAAGGUCAAGAAUGAGCAUAAAUGUUCAUUCUUGACCAAGACCCAAGGUGUGAAAAGACAGAAUUAUUCUUUCAGAUAGCUGCAUUAAGAUAAAAUGUCACCGUCACAAUGCUCAGUCCCUUCAGGAUCUUGUAAUGAAAUUGUGAGAGAAAGUAAAACUUACAAAAGUUGUUACGUUGUUCAGGUUAGAAUUAAAUUGCAUUGUUUGAAAUGUGGCCCAGUGUUUUGUGCAGGAAAUUGAAAAUUUGUGGUGACAGGUCAAAAUUGCAAGGUCGUGCAGGAUUCACAGGGAUUGGUUAAAUUUGCAUUAGUUGUUGCGAUUGCAAACUACAAUUUUCAGGAGAGACUUAAUGCUUGUGUCAUCACUGUAGCACAAGUCACUCAGACUGUCACACAGAAAUUCAAUUUUAAUAUCCUUCUACCAAAGACAGGACUACAUUUCCUCCACAGCGGGAGUAGCCAGCAGGUAAGCGCGCUCUCUCUCUCUCUCUCGCUCUCGCUCUCGCUCUCUCUCUCCCUCCCUCUCUCCCUCUCCCUCUCUCCUUCAGACUUCCUGUAACAAGUAAAAUUUAUUGGUUACACUGUAUCAUGUCACUGGUAAAAGAGUGAAUUACAAGGAACGCUUUUGAUGAUCUUUCUGAUUUUCUACAGCAAUUUAAAAGCUAUCUGUCUAUGUAUGAGCUGUUGAAAUGAUAGGCAGUAAUUUAAUCUGUGCUCCUGAAAUUGCACUUUGAGGGAGACGGAGAGGGGGAGUGGGAAAAGUAUAGCGUGAGAUGUCUCAUGGGUCAUCUUUUUAGGUUGACAUGAGCUGAAUCAAAGCUGCCAAAUCUGCUACUUGAGUUUGUGGUAGUCAAAUAUUAAUAUCAUAAAACAAUAAUGUGAGGGAAACUGCACUGUGCUGUUCAACACCCUGUAGCAGGAACCUCAGUAGUUACCUCUGAUCUACAAAGCUUAACCUUGUACUCUCAACAGUGAGAGAGAGGUUCAUCACAGUAGAGUGUGUCAUUGUAAUGUAAAAUUAUAAAAAAUAAAAUAUGUUCUGCUUCAUAGUGGUUAUAUAGUGGUAUUCAGCCAUGCAGAUAGUUUUAGUUUGAUCCUUCUGUCUCUGAGAUUUCUGCCACCACCUGAAGAAUGUCCAACAAAAUGCCAUUUUCAGUCAUCCCUUCCUACCGAACCAUAUCCAUCCAUUGUAACAUGCUUUUUAAAAUUAGAACUCGUAAAACAUUGCAAAUCCCACAGCCUGAAAAUUAAAAUUGGAAUAAUAGCAGUAAAAGUAAAUAUGCUAGUUGCUAACAGAUUAGUUACCAUGCCAGCGGUGGCUACUGCCGUCACUUGAACCUCAUCUUGCAGGUUGUAGCUAACUAACAGAGCUUCUAGCAUGGCUGUAGACUGGCUGUGGGUAAUAUCAUUCACCUCCACUGUAUUGGAGUCGAGGCAGAAAUUUCAGACAGCAAAAAAAAAAAAAAAAAAGCUUCAAAUAAAUCUAACAAAAUAAACUUUGGGUGAACAUGCCCUUUAAAAAGUGGGAUUUUAUCACAGGUAGAUACAAUGUGAAGGUUACGUUUCUAAAACAAACAUCUUUCACCAAAAGUGUACUUCUAGCCCAGUGUAAUUAUUUUGUUUAUUUUCAGCCAUGGAGUUAAACUAUAGUGUGGCAGCCAGCCAGGCACACAGCCACAGCAGGAAGUUUGUGUUUGCUUGUCAAGCAGUCGGAGGCAAAGUGACUCCACGGUCCUGGAACAGCGGUCUUGUCUCUGACGCUUCCCCUCAUGUUGUCUUGCUCUCAGCAGCGCACAUUAACAUUUUAUGGAGGAGCAGUCAAUGCGUCUACCAAAAAAGAACAUUUAAUUGGAAUUGGUGGAAAAUUUUGCCAUCCUGACAUCGGCCAUUCAUGUUCAUUUCACCUCCCUCAGGAGCUCCUGCUCCAUUGUUGUUGGAAUCACAGCGCUGUCCACUUAAAUGUCAAAUGGCUGCUUCCUUUACUUUGCAUAGUGAUUAUAAUGACUCAUCCUCUUACAGAAGAGCUAAUCUUAGCAUCCAUUUAGAAAAGAAGUGUUCCACCAUUAUGACAAGUGACCCCUAUUUCUUUUAAUGGAAACGGCUUCCUGCUUGAAUCAGAGAAUGGCCAGCAGGCACAUAAUUCAAAUACUGUCCAGAAAAGUGCUGUGCCUGCAGAUUACAAAGAAGGCCUUGAACUGCAUGAAAUAUUAAAGCAUUAAGACCACAUGAGGAAGUAAGCCACAAGAUCUUGCCAAUGUCUAGACACAAAUGAGAGGAUGAGAAUUUCAAGUUGGUAACAUUGCAAGAAAUGUCUGGCCUUCAUCCUCCAUCGGAGGCAAUGAAUAACCACCAGAAAAUGGACUGUCCAUUCAGGGUUUGGGAGACUAAUGGAAGCAAGAUGCUACAAAAGAAAUGUAGGAAGGGGUGAAUAUCCAAAAGACAUGCUGCUAUUUUAAAAAUCGAGGGUGCAUUUAAAGGAUAAUUAAAUCCUAAAUUAGAGUAAUAAAUGUAAAUCCACUAACAUUUGAAUAAUUGUAUUUCUUAAGUGAUAAAGACCAUACCAAUAAAAGGAGAAAGAAAACGACAAAAGGACAUAAAUGCACAGAGAAAGAAAUGAAAGAGCAGCCAGAAGAGAAAGAGAGAAAGAAAGUAAAACAGACAAAAUGAAAGGAGGCACAAAGAGCAGCAAUGAAAAAGGAGAGCAAAAACUCAGAUCGGGGAUAAUCAAGCGUGAGGCAGUUGUGCAAAAUUUACAGCCGUAAUUUGGAAUCCCACAGCCCUGGCAUCUGGAUGAAGAGGGAGGCACAACAGAUUCUCAUUUGCCAGAAACAGUCCAUGCUUGGUGGACGUUUCUGUCACUGCUUCCCUCUCCCUCCUCCUCCUCUGUCUGUCUCUGGAGUGCCUCUCCAUCCUGCACGGUGCACAAAUGAAACCUGCGUCACAAGACAGGCAGCAUAUCUCCACUAUACCUGAGCAGCCAGCCUUGAAGACACAACGCCGUGAGGGAUCAUUUCAAUUGUGGAGGACAAAAAGGAAAAUGUGAAUUGAUAGACUCGGCAGACAAAGAGAAGGACGUUUUUCUUAUAGGGUUUGUUAAGCGCCUACUAAACUGCCAUGCCCUUUUGAAUUUUCUUUAAAGAAACAGUUUGUGGCAUCUUUAUAUGCAAAUUUUCUCCAGGGAAUAUUUUUAUCCAUUUCGAGGGUCCCUACAUGUGGAUUUGGUUGCCAGGGAUUAUAGAUAUGCUCUAUUUCAGGGCCCCAAGAGAGCAGUUUCCAUGGGGCCCAGGCUUACUUGCAGCAUCCCUGUAGGGAGAGACUACAAGGCAGAGACCACAGUGGUAAUUUAUUGUCCUGUUUAAUUUCCCACAAGGGCACUGCCGAAACCAAAAGAGAUAAAGUCCAUCUAAUGUACAUGUAUUUACACAUUUAACUGGUUAAUGAACUCUCUUAGUCGAUGACAUUUACCUGCACUACAUCAAAAUUAUCCAGUCAUAUGUUUUCACAGGCUUGCACAGGACUAAGUAGGUCCUCCCGAGACAUCUUGAAGGGUUUCCAGGUCAGAUAGGACGUAUGGUUUCCUCAAGUGAGUUGUGCUUGCACCUGGGCUCUCCUCCCAGGUGGACAUUCCCAGAAUACUUACAAGGGGAGGCGUCCCAUGAAGGCACCUUAAGAUGCCUGAACCACCUCAGCUAGCUUCUUUCAACAUGAGAGAGAAUGAAUUCUGGGAUUCCACUUGCUAUCUGAGCUCUUCAACUCAUCUCUAACACUAUGUCCCUAAGGCCUUGUUCAGACCAGCUUUAGCCCUGUGUGAAAAAACGUGGCCCUUAUUCUUUUGAAGAUGUGAGCCCCGGUAACACAGUGGGGAUAUUGAUGCAGAGGGCUGCAGCAAAAAAAUAAAUCAUCUGGCAAAAAUGUUGACCCAUGCUAAACUUUUGGCAAAGUCUGGGCGCAUAUAUAUAUUUCAUGUCUCACCAGUACAAACGUAGGCCCUUGCAUUGUUUUAACACAGGGCUGUUUUUGUUUAGAAUACUUGAAUACAUUACUGACCUCAAAUGGACAGGAGCAAUUGGACAAUUGUAGUUAUGUGCCUAAGUCAGAAAAAAAAUACUUAAGGAAAAGAAGAAACUUCACAUUUUUGGUGCAAUAAUAUGCUUCAGGUCACACCCACCCUGUGAAGGAAACUCUGACCGUGUCUAACAAUUUGAAAUCGCACUACCAGAAGCAGCAUGAACAUAAGAGAAGUUUGAAAUAUCAAUUGACUGGUAAAGACUCAGGUUCAGCUCCCUCUUCACCUUGAUAAUCCAGAAAAAUAACCCUGACAUUCUCUUGUAGUCCGCCCUGCAAGCAAGACCUUGAGAUAUACACAAUUUUCACAAGAUCUCGAGGGAGCAAUCCACUUUUGAACAAUGAUGGCAAAGUUUGUGGUGCUGACCAGUACAGAAGUUGAAGAGGCCAGAAGAACUCCACCAUCAAUAAAAAGCAAAGGAUUUCUGUUUAUAAACUUCAACUACCUUGAUAGACUGGGAUGCACUAUAUUCAUGUAUAAACAUGCUCUAAAAAUACAGUACAAGACAAGCUUCCCCUUACUAUACAGUAUCUGCAGACAGUUGCAGCUGAAAUACAUCACAAAUGUGUCUGUCAUUGACAAUUAUUUGCAUUUGAAAUACUACAUACUGUUGUUUCAGGUCAGGCUGACUUGCCGUCAUACUGGAAAAUCAAUCACAGAUCUUUUUUAAUGCUGCAAGUCUCAAAUGAAAUUAAAAGAGGUUGAGUUAUGAGCCAAGAAAGUUUCUCUUGUACUCUACAACAACGCCAUUUCUUACUGAGCACAUUUCUGUACUGGACAAUACCAGGAUCAUCAAAUUCUUUCAGUUCUAAUCUGUCUGAGCGUUUGAUCACAGCCCAUUACUUCAAAGACAUUUUUCUCUUGUACUUCAUGAAUAUAACAGGAAGGUAAUUUGUAAAGUACAACAACAAUCUACACCGGGACAAAGUCUGCUGUCGAUAACGUUUAAAAAAAAGCUAAACUAGGGGCACGUUUCUGCACUACUCAGUGAUAUUCAUUUGAAUUAAUGGCCAAGUGGUGCAUAUUCACUUCACAGCUUUCAAACUCUGGUUACCCAGAAGAACAGCCUGCAGUUUAAUUAGAAAGCUCUUGGCUUCAUUGUGAGGGGGUGAGGGAAAGGGGAGGAGGAGGAGGAGGAAGCAGUCACUGAUUGAGCACUCUGUCUUCAAACCCAUUUAGUAGACAAGAACACAGGAAGAAACCUUAAGGAGGAGGAUGAUAAUACGCAGAGGAGGGUGAGAAAGUAGGAGAUGUGUGAUUGUAUCAGAAUCCUAACAAGGGAGAAGAUGAGAACACUUCCUGUAAAGCAUGAGCGUGCAGGUAUUUCAUUCAACCAGGUGAUUCCACUUAUAAGCACACCUGCUGACGGAGGAGGAAGAGCUUGUCAGUGACAUCAGUGGCCUGUGGGACCAUGCCUAAAAGCUGUUGCCUCACAGUAUUCACUUUCAACAUAAAAAAAACAAUGUGGUGUACUGGGAUUUUCUUUAUUUCCCCAAAGACAGAAGACAGAAGAGAUCUGUAGCUUCAGGCCAUCCGCAGAGAGAAUGAACAUGGUAAACUGUAGGACCCGGCCAGUCAAUACAUGUAUGUCUGUGGCAAACACUUCAUCAGAGGUCACUUAAUGAUGUUACUGACUAAAUGACCUGUGUGCCGAUUGUGCCUGUAGAGGCGAAUGAGAAAAGAACUUUAGUGACGGUGUAAUUAAAGUACUACUGUUAUAAUAAUGGCCCUACCAUAAAACACAUGCUUUUAGAAUUGAGUCUGUGCACUCAAAAGACCACCAGGAGCAGAAAGUAAAAGGUAGGAAGUGGAGCUAAAAACUGUUCUGGACUCUCAUCAAUCCCUAUUUCUUUCAUUCUCUAUAUAACGUUUCUGACUGUUUGGCAAUGACAUAAAAUAAUUGUUUGCCUGACUGACCAUAGGAUUUAGGCUCCUAAAAGCUAAAAAGCAAUACAAUGUUCUUUUUUGAUGCUAUUUAAUUGGCAAAGACUUUUGAAUUAACAUGUACCGCCAGUCAAAUUAAAGGGACUGGCGAUCCUAAAAAUGGUGGGGGCAUGUCGCAAAGGUACCCUGAUGGUUUACUCCAAUAGUCUUCAGGUGAAAUAAAAACCUUGAAUUCUGCACCAGUCUAAUGUGAUUUCUUUCUUCUCAGCAAGGACUCCCAGCACGUUGUCACAGUUUGGCUUGCAGGGAUCUAAACAAGCUAAAUAUGUUGGCUGUACAGUACGCGGCUGUGCUGCCCUGUGGAUAACAAGCCCACCGAUGGCACCAACGCCACCACCGGCCUUACUGGACCUGCAGCAGUAUCGACAGCCAAUGAACAACUACAAAUGUAAGCAGCUUACCCAGGCUUCGGUUGCCCCGUGGAGUAGUUUGGAGGAAAAGUGUCAGAAAGUGUCGGCAUCCACAGUAUGUGUUCAUUUCUACUGCAGCUGAACAGCUUGACAUCAGAGCCUCAAGACCCAAAGCUUUAUCUGACUAAGGCUGAGCUGAAUCGCUCAUUAAAGGGUCAGUUCAUCAAAAUGACCAAAAAUAAGCACUUUUUCUCACUUACCACUUCUGAAGCUGUAUUAAUAAAGCCAUACAGAUUGACAGGUUUGGAGACGUGUUUAUGAAAUUUCUGUCUUUAUCCCAAUAAACUGGAAGUGAAAGAAAAACUGUUUGACAUCCAGC
Dicentrarchus labrax (European seabass) is the source of this 8107-nucleotide long non-coding RNA. RefSeq lists it as uncharacterized. The record is from RefSeq and is a predicted model, not a curated record. The transcript has 3 exons. NCBI's taxonomy places the organism in Eukaryota, Metazoa, Chordata, Actinopteri, Moronidae.